GGGGUUGUAAGUUAGUGGUAGAGCACAUGCCUAGCAAGCAUGAGACCCUGGGUUGGAUCCCCAGCACCACA
RNAcentral lists this transfer RNA (71 nucleotides) under Marmota monax (woodchuck). RNAcentral describes it as "tRNA.Ala". It matches the Rfam family "tRNA". From Rfam's summary of the family: Transfer RNA (tRNA) molecules are approximately 80 nucleotides in length. Their secondary structure includes four short double-helical elements and three loops (D, anti-codon, and T loops). Further hydrogen bonds mediate the characteristic L-shaped molecular structure. tRNAs have two regions of fundamental functional importance: the anti-codon, which is responsible for specific mRNA codon recognition, and the 3' end, to which the tRNAs corresponding amino acid is attached (by aminoacyl-tRNA synthetases). tRNAs cope with the degeneracy of the genetic code in two manners: having more than one tRNA (with a specific anti-codon) for a particular amino acid; and 'wobble' base-pairing, i.e. permitting non-standard base-pairing at the 3rd anti-codon position. The record is from RNAcentral. Lineage: Eukaryota; Metazoa; Chordata; Mammalia; Rodentia; Sciuridae.